GCCGAGAUAGCUAAGCCCGGUACGGCGCGAGCCUGGAGAGCUCGUGGUGCUUGUUCACCUCGGGGGUUCGAAUCCCCCUCUCGGCG
RNAcentral lists this transfer RNA (86 nucleotides) under Thermoplasmata archaeon. RNAcentral describes it as "tRNA-Ser". It matches the Rfam family "tRNA". From Rfam's summary of the family: Transfer RNA (tRNA) molecules are approximately 80 nucleotides in length. Their secondary structure includes four short double-helical elements and three loops (D, anti-codon, and T loops). Lineage: Archaea; Methanobacteriati; Thermoplasmatota; Thermoplasmata. The record is from RNAcentral.